RNA transcript from Carya illinoinensis, 1414 nucleotides. It is a transcript of the gene named ABC transporter I family member 11, chloroplastic, with no coding region annotated. The transcript is spliced from 11 exons. The record is from RefSeq and is a predicted model, not a curated record. Lineage: Eukaryota; Viridiplantae; Streptophyta; Magnoliopsida; Fagales; Juglandaceae.
AUAUCGCCAAUCUGACCGAGAUUCAAGCCAACCCUGAAGCCCAAAGUCCUUCACUGCAGGAGAUGGCGAGUUCAGUCACCGAUUUGUCCCUCAGAGGCUUGACAGCUCUCGAAAGAGUACCAAUCCUGAUCACACCCAAGUCCUCCUCCCCCAGUUGUUUGAUUUUCCGAAGAAAACGGCUUUCCAGAAUUGCAUGUGAUUACUCCUGCUUUGAAGUUAGGGAUGUUAGCUAUCGACCCCCGGGGACCCAGCUCAACCUUCUGAAUGCAGUUAGUUUUUCCCUUCCAGAGAAAAGCUUUGGUCUAAUAUUUGGACGAAGUGGAAGUGGAAAAACUACACUUCUGCAGCUUCUUGCAGGGCUGAGUAAACCAACUUCAGGAUCCAUUUGUAUUCAAAGAUAUGGGAAUGAUGGCAAUCCAAAUCAAUCUCCUGAACCUGUACUCCCUGAGAGAGUUGGAAUUGUCUUUCAGUUUCCUGAGAGGUACUUUAUAGCAGAUAACGUGCUUGAUGAAGUUACAUUUGGGUGGCCAAGACAAAGGGGUGACCUCCAAUUCAAGGAACAUCUUGCUUUGAGACUCCAAAGAGCGAUUAAUUGGGUAGGUUUAAAUGGGAUCUCCUUGGACAAAGAUCCUCAUACCCUUAGUGGUGGCUAUAAACGUCGGCUUGCCUUGGCAAUUCAACUAGUAGAAAUCCCAGAUUUAUUGAUACUGGAUGAGCCUCUUGCUGGUCUAGAUUGGAAAGCACGCGCAGAUGUUGUGAAGCUUUUGAAGGUUCUGAAGAAAGAGUUAACUAUACUAGUUGUCAGCCAUGACCUCAAAGAGUUAGCAACUCUAGUCGAUCGGUCCUGGAGGAUGGAAAUGGGCGGAAUUCUUACGGAAGAGCUUGUGCCAGUUUAAAUCUGGAAAUAUGAUUUUGCCAUCAUCAACAUCAGAUGCUGUGAGGUUUGCCCCUGAUGCUAUCAGUGGUUCGUUUGCGUAUCAUCUUGGCAUAUUAGUGCAUGAUUGUGACGUUAAUGACUAUAUAAGCUUGUCUGCCCAGCUGCCUUGAUUGCUAUAUCGACUGUUUUGACUGUGCAUGGAGGAAUCACCAUGACAGGAUUGCCAGCCAUGAAAUUUUAAGAUUACCCCACUCUGAUUUUCGGAUGUUAAAGUGAGCUGGGAAGGAGAAAGCUGUUGUAGGCUUGGAGACAAAACCCACACAGCCAUCUUUAAUCCCACAGAAAGUGAAAUGAGUUUUUGGUAAAACUUGAUGCAAUUAUGUAUAGUUGUGUAAUUUUCAUCCCGUGUGACUCUAUUCUGUAAAUUUUGAUUUUUAACCGUAAAAACCCUUGACUGGAAAAUUUUCCUUGGAUUUUGUUUUGGGAACUACUACAACUUUACUAUUGUUGGACAGGAGAUGCCCUCAUUUUUCCUUA